RNAcentral lists this transfer RNA (70 nucleotides) under Stegodyphus mimosarum. It matches the Rfam family "tRNA". Rfam says of the family: Transfer RNA (tRNA) molecules are approximately 80 nucleotides in length. Their secondary structure includes four short double-helical elements and three loops (D, anti-codon, and T loops). Further hydrogen bonds mediate the characteristic L-shaped molecular structure. tRNAs have two regions of fundamental functional importance: the anti-codon, which is responsible for specific mRNA codon recognition, and the 3' end, to which the tRNAs corresponding amino acid is attached (by aminoacyl-tRNA synthetases). tRNAs cope with the degeneracy of the genetic code in two manners: having more than one tRNA (with a specific anti-codon) for a particular amino acid; and 'wobble' base-pairing, i.e. permitting non-standard base-pairing at the 3rd anti-codon position. The record is from Rfam by way of RNAcentral. Lineage: Eukaryota; Metazoa; Arthropoda; Arachnida; Araneae; Eresidae.
UCCUUUGUAGUGCAAAGGUAGCACACUCGGCUUACAUCGAGAGGUUCAGGUUCCAGUCCUGGCGAGGGCG